CAGUAGCCGCGGUAAUACGAAGGGGGCUAGCGUUGCUCGGAAUGACUGGGCGUAAAGGGCGCGUGGGCGGAUUGUUUAGUUAGGCGUGAAAUUCCUGGGCUUAACCUGGGGACUGCGCUUAAUACAGGCAGUCUAGAGUGAGGAAGAGGGUUGUGGAAUUCCCAGUGUAGAGGUGAAAUUCGUAGAUAUUCGCAAGAACACUAGUGGCGAAGGCGGCUCACUGGCCCGGUACUGACGCUGAGGCGCGAAAGCGUGGGGAGCAAACAGGAUUAGAGACCCCAGUAGUCCCUGUCUCUUAUAC
Molecule: ribosomal RNA, 301 nt
Filed under: uncultured bacterium
Lineage: Bacteria
Description: partial 16S ribosomal RNA
Rfam family: Bacterial small subunit ribosomal RNA
Source: RNAcentral